CGAACGCUGGCGGCGUGCUUAACACAUGCAAGUCGAACGCGAAAGGGACUUCGGUCCUGAGUAAAGCGGCGCACGGGUGAGUAACGCGUAGAUAACCUGUCUUCAUGUCUGGAAUAAUACGCCGAAAGGGGUACUAAUACCGGAUAUUCUUGCUUUUCAUAAGUUAUGCAAGCAAAGGUGGCCUCUGCAUAUGCUACUGCAUGAAGAGGGGUCUGCGUACCAUUAGCUAGUAGGUGGGGUAAUGGCCUACCUAGGCGACGAUGGUUAGCGGGUCUGAGAGGAUGAUCCGCCACACUGGCACUGGAACACGGGCCAGACUCCUACGGGAGGCAGCAGUGAGGAAUAUUGCGCAAUGGGGGAAACCCUGACGCAGCGACGCCGCGUGAGUGAGGAAGGCCUUCGGGUCGUAAAGCUCUGUCAAGAGGAAAGAAGUGUACAAUGGCUAAUACCUGUUGUAUUUGACGGUACCUCUAAAGGAAGCACCGGCUAACUCCGUGCCAGCCGCCGC
RNAcentral lists this ribosomal RNA (508 nucleotides) under uncultured bacterium. RNAcentral's name for it is "bacterial SSU rRNA". It matches the Rfam family "Bacterial small subunit ribosomal RNA", at positions 30 to 518 of the family's 1533-position model. The record is from RNAcentral.